This 294-nucleotide ribosomal RNA is filed under the name uncultured bacterium. RNAcentral describes it as "partial 16S ribosomal RNA". It matches the Rfam family "Bacterial small subunit ribosomal RNA", at positions 333 to 643 of the family's 1533-position model. The record is from RNAcentral.
UGUUGCCUACGGGGGGCAGCAGUGGGGGAUAUUGCACAAUGGGGGGAACCCUGAUGCAGCGACGCCGCGUGGGUGAAGGAGUGCUUCGGCAUGUAAAGCCCUAUCGGCAGGGAAGAAGCAAGACGGUACCUGACUAAGAAGCCCCGGCUAACUACGUGCCAGCAGCCGCGGGAAUACGUAGGGGGCAAGCGUUAUCCGGAUUUACUGGGUGUAAAGGGGGCGCAGACGGCAGCGCAAGCCAGGAGUGAAAGCCCGGGGCCCAACCCCGGGACUGCUCUUGGGACUGCGCGGAUG